RNAcentral lists this ribosomal RNA (252 nucleotides) under uncultured prokaryote. Its description in RNAcentral is "partial 16S ribosomal RNA". It matches the Rfam family "Bacterial small subunit ribosomal RNA", at positions 525 to 777 of the family's 1533-position model. The record is from RNAcentral.
ACGUAGGGGGCAAGCGUUGUCCGGAAUUAUUGGGCGUAAAGCGCGCGCAGGCGGUCAUUUAAGUCUGGUGUUUAAUCCCGGGGCUCAACCCCGGAUCGCACUGGAAACUGGGUGACUUGAGUGCAGAAGAGGAGAGUGGAAUUCCACGUGUAGCGGUGAAAUGCGUAGAUAUCAGGAGGAACACCAAUGGCGAAGGCAGCUCGCUGGGACGUGACUGACGCUGAGACGCGAAAGCGUGGGGAGCAAACAGGA